Molecule: microRNA precursor, 78 nt
Filed under: Trichobilharzia regenti
Lineage: Eukaryota; Metazoa; Platyhelminthes; Trematoda; Strigeidida; Schistosomatidae
Description: mir-3492 microRNA precursor family
Rfam family: mir-3492 microRNA precursor family
Source: Rfam by way of RNAcentral
AGCCUUUUUUAUUCGUGUUGAGAUUUCAUCAGAAAUCAAUCCAUCAGAGCAGAUGCAAAUUUGCAAAUAAAUGAAGUA